UGAGCUCUUCAGUGUCAAGGACUGUG
RNAcentral lists this non-coding RNA (26 nucleotides) under Homo sapiens (human). Lineage: Eukaryota; Metazoa; Chordata; Mammalia; Primates; Hominidae. The record is from RNAcentral.